This 325-nucleotide ribosomal RNA is filed under the name uncultured Pseudomonadota bacterium. RNAcentral describes it as "bacterial SSU rRNA". It matches the Rfam family "Bacterial small subunit ribosomal RNA", at positions 30 to 351 of the family's 1533-position model. Lineage: Bacteria; Pseudomonadati; Pseudomonadota. The record is from RNAcentral.
AUUGAACGCUGGCGGCACGCCUUACACAUGCAAGUCGAACGGUAACAGGCUAUAGCAAUAUAGUGCUGACGAGUGGCGAACGGGUGAGUAUAACAUCGGAACAUACCUUGUAGCGGGGGAUAACAAAUUGAAAGAUUUGCUAAUACCGCAUAACAUCUGAGGAUUAAAGCUGGGGACCGAAAGGCCUGGCACUACAAGAUUGGCCGAUGCCUGAUUAGCUAGUUGGUGAGGUAAGAGCUCACCAAGGCGACGAUCAGUAGCAGGUCUGAGAGGAUGAUCUGCCACACCGGAACUGAGAAACGGUCCGGACUCCUACGGGAGGCUG